RNAcentral lists this ribosomal RNA (623 nucleotides) under Xiphinema ifacolum. RNAcentral describes it as "LSU rRNA". It matches the Rfam family "Eukaryotic large subunit ribosomal RNA", at positions 453 to 903 of the family's 3401-position model. The record is from RNAcentral. Lineage: Eukaryota; Metazoa; Nematoda; Enoplea; Dorylaimida; Longidoridae.
AUAUAAGAGAGUAGCGUUCGUUCGAUGCAUUUCCGGCGGGUAAGCACCGCGACCGACGCGAAAGCUAACGUAGCCUUCGGAUUGAGGGCGAGCCCGUUCGCGGGACUCGUAACCAGUCCAUCGGUGGAUAUAGAAUUCGUUAGACGGUAGCGUCGAGAGAGAUAUAUUUUAACGGAGAGCCGGUGGAUAUAUAUAUCGCUCGCCUAUCGCGACGGAGGUAUCGCCGACCGAUCGUUCCCUGCUCGCAGGUUGCGGUCCGAGUCCGCGCGGUAUCCGAAGUCGUCGGCGACGUUUCCGGCUUUCCGGCUUCCGCGGUGUCCGAGUCGGUCACCCGUCCGACCCGUCUUGAAACACGGACCAAGGAGUCUAACGUAAGCGCGAGCUAAUGAGUGGAAAACUCAUAAGCGCAAUAAAAGUAAAGGUCGUUUCGGACGGCCGAGGUACGAUCCCGAAUAGAGGAGAAGUAUUCGGGCGCAGUACCGUCCCGUCCCGACCGCGCGUCGGUAGGGCGGAGAUAGAGUGCGUACGUUGGGACCCGAAAGAUGGUGAACUAUGCCUGAGCAGAGCGAAGCCAGAGGAAACUCUGGUGGAGGUUCGUAGCGGUUCUGACGUGCAAAUCGAAU